This 1325-nucleotide ribosomal RNA is filed under the name metagenome. RNAcentral's name for it is "bacterial LSU rRNA". It matches the Rfam family "Bacterial large subunit ribosomal RNA", at positions 1561 to 2925 of the family's 2925-position model. The record is from RNAcentral.
AGUGGAUGGGGAGCAACCUAGUUGUGCGUGUGUAAAGGUAGUGCCAAGAAAAGCGAUGAUCAUGUUGAAAAUCAAUUCCCGGUACCCGAAACCGACACAGGUGGGCAAGUAGAGAAUACUAAGGGGCGCGAGGUAACUCUCUCCAAGGAACUCGGCAAAAUGACCCCGUAACUUAGGGAGAAGGGGUGCCACCGAGAGGUGGUCGCAGUGAAGAGGCCCAGGCGACUGUUUAGCAAAAACAUAGGUCUCUGCAAACUCGAAAGAGGAGGUAUAGGGGCUGACGCCUGCCCAGUGCCGGAAGGUUAAAGAAGUUGGUCAGUUUUAGGAUGAAGCUAGCGACUGAAGCCCCGGUGAACGGCGGCCGUAACUAUAACGGUCCUAAGGUAGCGAAAUUCCUUGUCGGGUAAGUUCCGACCCUCACGAAAGGCGUAACGAUCUGGGCGCUGUCUCGGAGAGAGGCUCGGCGAAAUAGGAUUGUCUGUGAAGAUACGGACUACCUGCAUUUGGACAGAAAGACCCUAUGAAGCUUUACUAUAGCUUGGAAUUGUGUUCGGGCUUCCUGUGCGCAGGAUAGGUGGGAGGCGUAGAAGGUAUUCUUGUGGGGAUACUGGAGCCAACGGUGAGAUACCACUCUCAGGAGGCUAGAAUUCUAACUUAAUUAAGGACAGUUUCAGGUGGGUAGUUUGACUGGGGCGGUCGCCUCCAAAAAGGUAACGGAGGCGUACAAAGGUUCCCUCAGACUGGUUGGAAAUCAGUCGAAGAGUGCAAAGGCAGAAGGGAGCUUGACUGCGAGAAGUACAGUUCGAGCAGGGUGGAAACACGGUCUUAGUGAUCCGACGGUGCUGUGUGGAAGGGCCGUCGCUCAACGGAUAAAAGUUACUCUAGGAUAACAGGCUGAUCUCCCCCAAGAGUUCACAUCGACGGGGAGGUUUGGCACCUCGAUGUCGGCUCAUCGCAACCUGGGGCGGAAGUACGUCCCAAGGGUUGGGCUGUUCGCCCAUUAAAGCGGUACGUGAGCUGGGUUCAGAACGUCGUGAGACAGUUCGGUCCAUAUCCGAUGUAGGCGUGAGAAUAUUGAGAGGAGCCUUCCUUAGUACGAGAGGACCGGGAAGGACGCACCGCUGGUGUACCUGUUAUGAUGCCAAUUGUAAACGCAGGGUAGCCAAGUGCGGAGAGGAUAACCGCUGAAAGCAUCUAAGUGGGAAGCCCACCUCAAGAUGAGUAUUCUGGUGUAAGGUCACGGGAAGACGACCCGUAAAUAGGCACGAGGUGGAAGUGCAGAGAUGUAUGAAGCCGAAGUGUACUAAUAGACCGUCGGCUUGAUA